GGAUCCGGGAGGGAGCCAGGCGGGCCAUGGGGAGGGGCAGGGGCUUAGCCGCUGGCGAGUGAGGACCGGGUCGGGAGGAAGGGGUCACACCUGGAGUUCAGCCUCUUGGGUAGGGGCGGGAUACGUGGGGCGGCUCGAGGAGCUGCCAGGACUAGGGAGGGCUGCGGGACAAGACGGGGCGGGAUCUGGAUGACGUUUGCCCCUAAGACGCCGCGAGGAGGCCAGGCUUUGCAACCAUCUCCAUAAAGAAGGGCCUCUUUUGCCUACACACCGGCAGUGUCCUUCCCGCACUCAGAGGGCCUCUCUGGAGCCAGUUCCAGGCCACCCAUGGGCCUUGGCCCCGCCCCCUACUCAUGGCUGGCAGAUUCGUGGCCCCACCCAUCUCGAAGCCCCUCGGCCCAGGAACCCAGGGGAAGCUGCUGCCCUAGCAAUCCUGACCCGGACGACAGAUAUUACAACGGUGAGGAGUUCUC
Molecule: small RNA, 473 nt
Filed under: Pan troglodytes (chimpanzee)
Lineage: Eukaryota; Metazoa; Chordata; Mammalia; Primates; Hominidae
Description: processed transcript
Source: RNAcentral